AGCUCAAGUGAUCUGCCUGUUUAGGCCUUCUAAAGUGCCGGGAUUACAGGCGUAAGCCAUUGCACCUGGCCUCACACUGGAAUUUUCUACGCACCUGAUGAGGAGGAAUAUGUACCAAGGAACAGUAAGUGCUAUGUCAAAGGAGAAGAAGAAAUGACAACAUAUUGCUGGAAGGGAAUGCAAGUCAAACAAUAAGUGGAAGACUCUUGAGCUUAGUCACCCAGGUUAUGACAUGAAGGUCAGUUUGGUCUCUCUCUUCAUUUCCUCCCGCCCCACGGGGAGUCAUCUGCUUGAGGAAGGAAAGACACAUUGCCGGGCUACAGCGCAGGGCCCAUUGUCAUGCUGAGCCACCCUUGCUUCCCUGCAGGCCUCCUGAGUCGCAGCCUAGGAAUGUAGCAAGAGUAGGAUUUCCAGCUCCUAGAAGACAGAAAUCAUGUUGUUCAUCUUUUGCAUCCUUCCCAGAAUCUAGUGGAGCACUGAGCAUCAUAAGCCCAGACCCUCUUUAGCACAUGGCUCCAGCCACCAUUUCUAUACUGAGAAUACUCAGAGAUAUGUCUCCAGAUCAGAGACGUUUGGCAAGUUCUGGAUGGGUGAGUCUGUUCUUGCGUUGCUAUAAAGAACUACCUGAGACUGGGUAAUUUAUAAAGAAAAGAGGUUUAAUUGGUUCACUGUUCUGCAGGGGGUACAGGUAUGGCACCAGCAUCUGCUCAGCUAUUGGUGAGGCCUCAGGAAGCUUACAAUCAUGACACAAGGUCAAGGGGAGCCAGCGUGUCACAUAGCAAGAGAGGGAGCAAGAGAGAGAAGGCAAAGUUGUCAGCCUCUUUUCAAUGACCAGAUCUCAUGUGAA
Molecule: long non-coding RNA, 847 nt
Filed under: Homo sapiens (human)
Lineage: Eukaryota; Metazoa; Chordata; Mammalia; Primates; Hominidae
Description: HSALNT0315446
Source: RNAcentral